UAGUUCAGCACUAAGUCACUUUGUCUUUAUGGCAAAUGUGAGAUGCAGUGUAUGGAACAUCUUAAAUCUAGUAUGAGAAAUUAACGAUUUAAGUCCUUCUUAAAUGAGGCCAUUUACCCAUAGAGGGUGCCAGGCCCGUAUAACGUUAAUGAUUACUAGAAGAUGUUUCCAAAGAGUCGUGUUGCUUGAUAGUGCAGCACUAAGUGGGUGGUAAACUCCAUCUAAAACUAAAUAUAACCAUGAGACCGAUAGUAAACAAGUACCGUGAGGGAAAGUUGAAAAGAACUCUGAAUAGAGAGUUAAAUAGUACGUGAAACUGCUUAGAGGUUAAGCCCGAUGAACCUGAAUAUCCGUUAUGGAAAAUUCAUCAUUGUGAUUGUAAUAUUUAAACAAUAUUAUAAUAAUAGUGUGCAUUUUUUCCAUAUAAGGACAUUGUAAUCUAUUAACAUGCUAUUUAUCAAAAGAUCAUUUGCUUAUGUUUAUUCCAAUUAGUUUGCUUGCAAGUUAACACAGAAUAAAUGCUUAUGAUUUGAUAAAGUGUUGAUAGAUUUUAUUAUAUAUAGUGCUUAAAUUCUUUGAAUUUUAUAAUGGCAUUGGAAUCAUUGGUUUCAGUGUUUAUUAUAUGCGCUUAUAUGAUUAACAAUGCG
This 647-nucleotide ribosomal RNA is filed under the name Antrops sp. JK03. Its description in RNAcentral is "eukaryotic LSU rRNA". It matches the Rfam family "Eukaryotic large subunit ribosomal RNA", at positions 104 to 626 of the family's 3401-position model. The record is from RNAcentral. Lineage: Eukaryota; Metazoa; Arthropoda; Insecta; Diptera; Sphaeroceridae.